GAACGCACAUUGCGCCCGCCAGUAUUCUGGCGGGCAUGCCUGUUCGAGCGUCAUUUCAACCAUCAAGCCCCCGGGCUUGCGUUGGGGCCCUGCGGCUGCCGCAGACUCCUAAAAUCAGUGGCGGGCUCGCUGUCACACCGAGCGCAGUAGCGAUAUCUCGCUCUGGGCGUGGCGCGGGUGCUUGCCGUAAAACAAACCACACAGCAAGGUUGACCUCGGAUCAGGUAGGAAUACCCGCUGAACUUAAG
Molecule: unclassified non-coding RNA, 248 nt
Filed under: uncultured Sordariales
Lineage: Eukaryota; Fungi; Ascomycota; Sordariomycetes; Sordariales
Description: sequence contains 5.8S rRNA gene
Rfam family: 5.8S ribosomal RNA (bases 1-53)
Source: RNAcentral